UCUCCCCACAGGGAGGAUGGCCUGGGGCAGGAUGGUUGUGUACUGUGACAGGGUGUCGCGUGGAUGGUGCAUGUGAGCCGAGUGUGUGAGUGGACACAAGAGGGGUGAUCAUGCAGGGGGUGUGCAAGACAAGUGUGUACCCCCUGUGGUUCUCCUCCCACCAACACAUUGAUCUUAUUUGAUCAGGUUGUGACCCCAGCCCCACCAGGCCAACUGGAGAUGAAAAGAAAUUUCUCUUCUAAGGA
This is a non-coding RNA of Phyllostomus discolor (pale spear-nosed bat), 245 nucleotides long. RefSeq annotates it as small Cajal body-specific RNA 2. The transcript has a single exon. The record is from RefSeq and is a predicted model, not a curated record. Lineage: Eukaryota; Metazoa; Chordata; Mammalia; Chiroptera; Phyllostomidae.